Molecule: ribosomal RNA, 112 nt
Filed under: Acanthosepion pharaonis
Lineage: Eukaryota; Metazoa; Mollusca; Cephalopoda; Sepiida; Sepiidae
Source: RNAcentral
UACGGCCAUAUACGUUGAAACAUUGGUUCUCGUACAAUCACCAAAGUUAAGCAACGUCGGGCCUUGUCAGUAUCUAGAUGGGUGACCGCUUUGGAAUACGAGGUGCUGAAAG